This 255-nucleotide long non-coding RNA is filed under the name Trifolium pratense (red clover). RNAcentral's name for it is "long non-coding RNA (TPRA_LNC007540)". The record is from RNAcentral. Lineage: Eukaryota; Viridiplantae; Streptophyta; Magnoliopsida; Fabales; Fabaceae.
CGGAUUUAAUGAUUAAAAAACGAGUUUAUGAAAGAUUAAACUCAAGAACUUUGUGUUCUUGAGAGUUUUGAUGAAAAAGUGUUCAAUCUUUACUUUUUCGAUGUCUAUGACGUAGAUCUGAGAAAUGAACUGUCCUUUUGUGUUUAUCUAUGUUUGUUAAGCUUGAAUACAAACUCUUUUGGAAUUUAUAACAUGAAAAAUGGGAUUUUUGGGUCAUUGGUGUAGAAAACGCCAGAAUUUCGCCCCAGGCAAAAU